GUGCCAGCAGCCGCGGUAAUACGUAGGGGGCAAGCGUUGUCCGGAUUUAUUGGGCGUAAAGCGCUCGCAGGCGGCCCGAGGCGUCGUGCGUGAAAGCCCCCGGCUCAACUGGGGAAGGUCGUGCGAUACGGUCGGGCUCGAGGCCAGUAGGGGGACGCGGAAUUCCGGGUGUAGUGGUGGAAUGCGUAGAGAUCCGGAGGAACACCAGCGGCGAAGGCGGCGUCCUGGACUGGUACUGACGCUCAAGAGCGAAAGCGUGGGGAGCGAUCCGGAUUAGAUACCCGAGUAGUCC
This 292-nucleotide ribosomal RNA is filed under the name uncultured bacterium. RNAcentral's name for it is "partial 16S ribosomal RNA". It matches the Rfam family "Bacterial small subunit ribosomal RNA", at positions 505 to 796 of the family's 1533-position model. The record is from RNAcentral.